GACGAACGCUGGCGGCAGGCCUAACACAUGCAAGUCGAGCGAACCCUUCGGGGUUAGCGGCGGACGGGUUAGUAACGCGUGGGAAUAUACCCUUUGGUACGGAAUAGCCUCGGGAAACUGAGAGUAAUACCGUAUGUGCCCUUGGGGGAAAGAUUUAUCGCCAAAGGAUUAGCCCGCGUUGGAUUAGAUAGUUGGUGGGGUAAUGGCCUACCAAGUCUACGAUCCAUAGCUGGUUUGAGAGGAUGAUCAGCAACACUGGGACUGAGACACGGCCCAGACUCCUACGGGAGGCAGCAGUGGGGAAUCUUAGACAAUGGGCGCAAGCCUGAUCUAGCCAUGCCGCGUGGACGAUGAAGGCCUUAGGGUUGUAAAGUCCUUUCAGAUGGGAAGAUAAUGACGGUACCAUCAGAAGAAGCCCCGGCUAACUCCGUG
This 432-nucleotide ribosomal RNA is filed under the name uncultured bacterium. Its description in RNAcentral is "bacterial SSU rRNA". It matches the Rfam family "Bacterial small subunit ribosomal RNA", at positions 28 to 507 of the family's 1533-position model. The record is from RNAcentral.